CGGUGAAGCCAAGCUUGCUUGGUGGAUCAGUGGCGAACGGGUGAGUAACACGUGAGCAACCUGCCCUGGACUCUGGGAUAAGCGCUGGAAACGGCGUCUAAUACUGGAUAUGAGCUCUCAUCGCAUGGUGGGGGUUGGAAAGAUUUUUCGGUCUGGGAUGGGCUCGCGGCCUAUCAGCUUGUUGGUGAGGUAAUGGCUCACCAAGGCGUCGACGGGUAGCCGGCCUGAGAGGGUGACCGGCCACACUGGGACUGAGACACGGCCCAGACUCCUACGGGAGGCAGCAGUGGGGAAUAUUGCACAAUGGGCGGAAGCCUGAUGCAGCAACGCCGCGUGAGGGAUGACGGCCUUCGGGUUGUAAACCUCUUUUAGCAGGGAAGAAGCGAGAGUGACGGUACCUGCAGAAAAAGCGCCGGCUAACUACGUGCCAGCAGCCGCGGUAAUACGUAGGGCGCAAGCGUUAUCCGGAAUUAUUGGGCGUAAAGAGCUCGUAGGCGGUUUGUCGCGUCUGCUGUGAAAUCCCGAGGCUCAACCUCGGGCCUGCAGUGGGUACGGGCAGACUAGAGUGCGGUAGGGGAGAUUGGAAUUCCUGGUGUAGCGGUGGAAUGCGCAGAUAUCAGGAGGAACACCGAUGGCGAAGGCAGAUCUCUGGGCCGUAACUGACGCUGAGGAGCGAAAGGGUGGGGAGCAAACAGGCUUAGAUACCCUGGUAGUCCACCCCGUAAACGUUGGGAACUAGUUGUGGGGACCAUUCCACGGUUUCCGUGACGCAGCUAACGCAUUAAGUUCCCCGCCUGGGGAGUACGGCCGCAAGGCUAAAACUCAAAGGAAUUGACGGGGACCCGCACAAGCGGCGGAGCAUGCGGAUUAAUUCGAUGCAACGCGAAGAACCUUACCAAGGCUUGACAUAUACGAGAACGGGCCAGAAAUGGUCAACUCUUUGGACACUCGUAAACAGGUGGUGCAUGGUUGUCGUCAGCUCGUGUCGUGAGAUGUUGGGUUAAGUCCCGCAACGAGCGCAACCCUCGUUCUAUGUUGCCAGCACGUAAUGGUGGGAACUCAUGGGAUACUGCCGGGGUCAACUCGGAGGAAGGUGGGGAUGACGUCAAAUCAUCAUGCCCCUUAUGUCUUGGGCUUCACGCAUGCUACAAUGGCCGGUACAAAGGGCUGCAAUACCGUGAGGUGGAGCGAAUCCCAAAAAGCCGGUCCCAGUUCGGAUUGAGGUCUGCAACUCGACCUCAUGAAGUCGGAGUCGCUAGUAAUCGCAGAUCAGCAACGCUGCGGUGAAUACGUUCCCGGGUCUUGUACACACCGCCCGUCAAGUCAUGAAAGUCGGUAACACCUGAAGCCGGUGGCCCAACCCUUGUGGAGGGAGCC
RNAcentral lists this ribosomal RNA (1377 nucleotides) under Microbacterium testaceum. Its description in RNAcentral is "bacterial SSU rRNA". It matches the Rfam family "Bacterial small subunit ribosomal RNA". Lineage: Bacteria; Bacillati; Actinomycetota; Actinomycetes; Micrococcales; Microbacteriaceae. The record is from RNAcentral.